Molecule: long non-coding RNA, 11215 nt
Filed under: Phoenix dactylifera (date palm)
Lineage: Eukaryota; Viridiplantae; Streptophyta; Magnoliopsida; Arecales; Arecaceae
Description: long non-coding RNA (PDAC_LNC001321)
Source: RNAcentral
UCCUGCUCUGAUUCCCUAUUGCAUUCAAAACAGUAAGAAAAUAAAUAAACAAAAUACCAGCACAUUCUAAUGAUGAAUUGCAUGAUUCCAUUAGUCAGGUCCCUUUAUUACUUACCAGAACAAAAAUGUCGCGACUCCAAUGGGAUCUCUUUACCGCUCCUUCCGUUACAGUUUCUAGUAGAAUGGAAACUUGAUAUCAAAGAUGAAAGUAUUUGGCUGACUUAAAUUGUAAGGUAAGAAAAGGAAGCUCCUUGGUUGAUGAUCUUGAGAAACUACUGCUUUUUGGUGACCCAUCUAAAAUAGCAGAUAGUCAAAGAAAUAUUCCUUCUUUCAAGGAGCAGGUCUUCACGCAUUUUAGGUGCUUAUUGAAUCUGUAGAUAUUUCCAUGGGAUAAUGUAACAGUGGCGACAGUACCCCUAUAAUGCAAUCUCUUGAGACUGUUUUGGUUCUUAGACCAAAAGCAGGCUUCAUGAAGUUCCCCUUUCUUCCAGCAGACAUUAACUGUGACAUUGCCCCUGGCCUUCAACCCCUUAACACAACCUUCAGCCCACUUUUCUCGUGGGAGAGCUGGGAGUAAAUAGAGAUCAUGCUUCGUGCUCUGGACAAGCAUUUCUGCAAUUGCCGCAGUGAAACUGAAAAGAGAGUAUCAAAACUAGUUGGCAAGGAUGAAAAUUUGGCCUUCUGCUGAAAAAGUUCAUCAAUAUGUUGAAAGUUGGUAUGGAAUCACAUGAUUUACCCGAAAUUACCAUCAAUCUGGAAUGGAGGGUGUGCUGUGAACAAGUUACUAUACAACCCUCCUUCAAAAGAAAUUUCAUGAUCAGGAUCUACCAAGUUGAUCAACUGCCUGACCAGUUUGUAUGCAUGUUCGCUGUUGUGAAGGCGGGCCCACAAAGCCAUCUUCCAUGUGGUUGACCACGCUGGGCCGGCAUCCCCUGGAAAAGCCAAUGAAACAUUAGUCAAAACAGGCAUUAAGUGAAAAUUUAGAUGUCUGCAUUCAGUUGCACUCUCAAGAUACCUAGAAAGCUAGGCUUGUUGAGAAUUUUGCAGGCUGGCUUACCAACAUGAUCAAUAUGAGGAAUCCUAGUAAUGAGAACUACAUUUAAUUUGGUGUGCUACUAUGUAAAAUAGAGGCCUAAAAAGGCAUGCUGAAUAAACGUGGUGAGGUUUAUUUUCCUUCAUCUCUCAAGCUAGACCAUGGAAAGGCCAACAUCCUAUGCCGUGCAAAUGCAUCUUUUAAGCUUGUUAUUUUCUUAUUUAUUAGUUUUAUUAAGAUAGACCAAAUGAUUGUCUUCAUGUAUUUAGACCAUCAGGAAAUAUUAGUACUUUGACAUUUAUUGAUCAUGCCGCACUUCAUUCUUAGCUAAGAAACUCAUCUUUCUUACCCAUCAUCCAUGUAUGUGGUCUUAAGUCUGUACGNNNNNNNNNNNNNNNNNNNNNNNNNNNNNNNNNNNNNNNNNNNNNNNNNNNNNNNNNNNNNNNNNNNNNNNNNNNNNNNNNNNNNNNNNNNNNNNNNNNNNNNNNNNNNNNNNNNNNNNNNNNNNNNNNNNNNNNNNNNNNNNNNNNNNNNNNNNNNNNNNNNNNNNNNNNNNNNNNNNNNNNNNNNNNNNNNNNNNNNNNNNNNNNNNNNNNNNNNNNNNNNNNNNNNNNNNNNNNNNNNNNNNNNNNNNNNNNNNNNNNNNNNNNNNNNNNNNNNNNNNNNNNNNNNNNNNNNNNNNNNNNNNNNNNNNNNNNNNNNNNNNNNNNNNNNNNNNNNNNNNNNNNNNNNNNNNNNNNNNNNNNNNNNNNNNNNNNNNNNNNNNNNNNNNNNNNNNNNNNNNNNNNNNNNNNNNNNNNNNNNNNNNNNNNNNNNNNNNNNNNNNNNNNNNNNNNNNNNNNNNNNNNNNNNNNNNNNNNNNNNNNNNNNNNNNNNNNNNNNNNNNNNNNNNNNNNNAGGGCGGCGUCCGAAGGGUCUCCGGGGCUCCCAGCGGCCGUUCUCUCUUUCUGGUCCUUCUUUUUGAUGCAUUUUCCAACAACUUCCACUUCAAGUAAUUUCUUUGCUGAUACCUCGGAGUGAUAGAGAAAAUGGGGAUUUCAGGUGGUAGGGGAAUCGAAGAGGAAGGAGGAGUACAUCUGCUUUCCCGAGCACCACUGCACCUGCUACUCUUUCUUCUAUGACAUCGUCAACAGGGGUGAACAGCUCUGUGUAUGCUUCCUAAUUUGUUUUACCAGUUGUUUUUUCUUCUUGGCCUUUUCAGUUACUCAUUUGUCUCCAUGUUGUUCGUAGUGCAAGCAUCAAAUAGCAGCUCGGCUUGCUGAAGCCGUGGGUGCGCUCACGGAAGUGGAGGUGUCUGAUGAGCAGCUGGCGCUUAUGCUUGCGAAACUCUGACAGCUAUAAGCGUCUCAAAUCGUACAGGUAUUAAUUUCUUACUGCUGCUACUUGAGUCUUAGUUUUGAUUUAGUUUUUGGGUAUAGUUUGUGUAGAAGCAUUAACGAGAUGUGUAGUGGAAAAUGUGUCGAACGGCUCUUUCAGCUAUAAAGAAUUUUUCUUGCAUUUUCUGUUUUAUUGGAGUCAUGGUUCAAAUACAAUCAACUCGUAUUUUGAUUGCAUCAAAUAUAUAGUUUAUUGUACACAACAAAUUCCAAUAUUUUGCAGGUAUAAGUUAACGUUCUGCGGAUGCAAUAAUUCAAUUCUCAGUAAAGAGGGUUAACAAAAUUGAUUUUUUCUUCCACAAUAUAUUGAAAAAUAAAGGAGUGGCGUAUCGUCGUGAUUUUAUUUUGGUGCUUGUUCUUUCCAAAAACCAUAUGUGCUGCAAUUUUGGAUGCUAAGGGACAGCAACAGUAAGGAGCAAGAGAAUUUUAGGUGAACGAUGGAUAGCUGCUCUAGAAAACCAAACAUGAGAAUUUAUAUAGGCCUCUGCAACCUAAAAUCCUUGAUCCAUUACGCAAGUUGUCCUUGAAAAUCCUAAACAUGCAGACAAAUAAAAAUAAUAAUAGUGAUAAAAAAACAGUGAAGUGGCUAGACUCAUAUCUCCCCUGUACUACAUGAAUUACUAACAUGUUAGUGAUGCAUAACAAAAUAGAGAUUCUCAUGUUCAGGAAAUUCCAGCUGAAGGUCUAUUGGGAAGAGAAAAUCCCUUCUCUCUCAUUAGAAAAGCGGAUAUCUUCUUGCUUUCUCAUUGCAAUUUUUGCUUUCAAAUCCUUUGUCCAUUGUAAAUGCGUAAUGGCCAUCAGCAAGUUUGUAAAAUGUAGUAAUAUUAGCACCCUUCUUAAAAGAGCUCAUCCUUAAANNNNNNNNNNNNNNNNNNNNUCGUCCUCAAGCUCUAUUGACUUGGACAAUUUUGUACAAUGAGUCAGUAGAAUCUCCUUAUCUCCUUGAAAAUCGGCCAUGGAGCUAAGCAGGACAAAGAGUCCACUUUAAACACUUAGCUCCUCAUAAAAAAAAUUAAGAGAAUGGGAAAGAGGACAUAGCAUGGAGCUAGUUGUUGGAAUUCUUCAGAUUUUAUGUUUAAUUCCAAAUAUUCAGAGGCUCUAGCAACUUAGUCAUUUGUGAUGAUAGAUGACCGUAGAGGAAGGUAAGGUCCAUGGUUUAAGCAAAAGAGCAGUUAGGGAUAUUUUGGGAAGUGAAAAGCUGGGUUAUCAUGUAUACUAGUAAGAAGAGAAAUCCUUUAAUUGCUUCUAGCAGAGGAGCAAACUAAAGUACUUACUUAAUAUAAGCUCUGGGCUGCAAUCCUUCUUACUCUUUUAUCAUGAUUUUGCACGCUCCAUUGCACCUCAACCUUUCUGUUGUCAAGAAAAGCUACUAUUUGAACUCAGACAUUUCCUUUGCAUGUAUCGCCCCUAAGUCUCAACAAUUCUCCCAAAACUUGAGUGCCAACUUCAUUGAUGGUGCCCCUUGUGAAGUGAGGUAGCUUUACUUUCAUCUUCCCACAAACAACUUGCUAAUUAUCUUAUUAGAUGUAACAUUCUGAAAGUGAAGCAAAUGUUUUACUUGUUUAUUGCAUUCGUCUAAUCAGUUUGAAGUGGAACCAGUUGUAUGACCUAUUAAUUUCCAUGUAUAAUUUCAUUUAGCUAAGCAAAUAUUGGAUAUCUGUAGACAUCCAACUGCUGUUCUUUUCCCAUGUAGGAUAACUUUAAGGAUUGUGAAGGAUAAGCAUUGAAAUAAACCUUUAGGAAGCCUAAUAGAAAAAGACAGUUGUUGAAGGGACCUUAAAGGCAAUGUUUGGAUGUCUGGGUAUGUCAAAGAUGGAUAUGACCAUUUCAAUGGGAAAUAGUGGAGGGGGGCAGUCUUACUCUUACGAGAAAAGGGGGGAUGAUGGGAGAAAACAGGAAGGUCAUGUAAAAUGGAUAUGACCUAACUUUAAAUAUGUGUCAUUCUGUGAAUCAUGUUAUAAUGGUUAUGGUAUCUUAUAUAUGGAUAAACUUGGAGAGUACCUGUCAAACAAAAGUUCACGCACUCUUUUUGUCUCUCUCUCUCUAUGUUUUUAUGUGAGCUGGAAUCAUCAACAAUGAUAUUAUUUAAACACUCUAAAUCUCAAAUUUAGGACUUUUGAAUGUAUGGAAGAUUAUUUGAAAUAACCUUUUUGUUGUGUAAUUUGGAUGUUGUAUGUUUUAUGUUUUUUAAUUUCCCCCUUGUUGCAUGUGAAUUCAAAUUACAGUUUUCUUUACCACUAGCUUUUGUAAAUGGCUAUGGAUCACCGAACCUUUGUCUUGUGCAUCCUUUGACUCAAAAAUCAAGUUAUGGGAUGCGGAACUAGGAAGGCCUCUGUACAGUUUGAAUGCUCACAGGUAAUGAAGUGUAACUCAUAAGAUGAAUGACAAAUUUGUAUAUGCUUAAUUGGGGUAAUGUCUUUACUUUUUCUUAUGAACAACAUGUUGUGAUUUGUCAGGCUUCCUGUAUAUUCUGUUGCAUUUAGCCUAAACGGUGAGUGUUUACUUCCUGGCUCAGUUAGAUCAAUGUGUACAUAUAUGGUCCCUGAAAGAAAGGGGAAGGCUGUGAGGACUUACAGUGGGGAAGUGAAAUUUUGUGAAGUGUGUUUGAACCAAAAAGGUGAUAAAGUAGCAGCCUGUUUCUCCAACAAUACUGUAUAUGUGUUGGAUUUUAGAAUGUAUAUAUUCAUUAAAAUUCUCAAUCAACCGAGGUAGCAGGCACAUUUCAUUGUACCCUUAGUGUUGGAGAGACAAAAAUGGAUUGUUCAUGCCCCAACCUAGAAUGACAUUCAAAAAAAAAAGCAUUGCUCUUCAGGUUGGUUGUUAUCGUGCCGCUUCUAUUAAUGUAAACAAUGUUCAUACAAGCAUGACUAUACAUCAUCACAGGUAAAUUUGAAUCUGCUUAGUACUCACAAUUGAUUGUUCAGUAGGAGAUUAGUAAACCUAGGAACACCAGAAAGUAAAUAAGUUGACACAAGCAGGAAAGAAAGCAUGAAAUAAAGAACAUGAAAGCGAGGCAAGUAAAAUGAAAAAGAUGAAGAGCACAAAGGUAUAACUGCAUUUAUACAUUGCCAACACUAAGGAAGAUCUUUUUCGGUAGGCUUGAAAAGAAGCUCAGCCCCUAAACUAAAGAGUCCUACUCUCAGGCUCUAACUGGGUGGAUUUUGUUUUCUUUUUCUAAUGGAGUUUUCUUCUUUGAUACUAGGGUAAGGAUAAAGUAGAGGAUUCUUGAAAAGGUUGUUGGGAGCCUCAUGUUCUGAAAAUACGUGUUAUAUGUAUUCUUUUCUCCUUCCCUUUUUUAAUGGAGGGGGAAAAGGCUCUAAGAAUUUUAAGGGAGUGAAAAAGUCUGGAGGAAAGAAGAUAAUGAUCUCUUUUCUGAGACUCGGUUUAUCCCCCGUGUGAAGAAUUAACUAGGAGAAGAGGUUUAGGAUAUGAUGGGUGUAUGAGUAGGAUUGUAUCUUCUAGGAUGAAGGGUGAGGAUGGCGAAGAAGAUGAUGUACAUUCGUCUACAGAGGCUAUGGACUAUGGAGGGAUUUCUAAAAGUGUAGUUGUAUUCUGUGAAAUGUUAUAAAUGUUAGAGUGCAUUGGAUAUUAGGAUAGGCCAAGAGUGUGCAUGGAUGAAGGAUUAGUGCUGGAGUUCAGUAAUUAUGUUAGCUAGAAGAAAAACAGUUAGAUAUUUGGAUUUGAUCAUUUAAUAUUAGAUGUCGGGAAGGAGUGGUAGAAGCUUGCUGUGCUCAGGCUCAAAGUAAAAGGGAUUUCAAGAAGGUUAAGGCUACAGAUGGCUGUAGAAGUAGGUGCAUGAAUCGCAUUUUUCUUUGGAUAGUUACAGGGUUGUCACUAAUAUCUGCAGAAUGAUAACCUACUCCGACCGCAAUCUGACUUGUAGGUCUACUGGUUAGGUAUGAGUUCAUAUGACAUUUUGGGUUAUGGUUUGGUUCGACUAAAUGCCUCCUUGAUCUCACCAGGUCAUAUUUUGCGUUAACCUUGCCCAAGUCUAAACUGAAUCCAAACCAUGAAGUUUACCUUGUAUAUAAUGUUUGUUUUACCCUUAUACUCCCUAUGUUUCCUAUCAAGUUUAUUAAUUGUCCUUUGGGACUAUGAUAUUAGAGAAUAGUUUUACACACGUUUGUCAUGGUUUCAUAUUUCAGUUUUUAUUUCAAAAACAUGGAACCUAAUGCUGCCUGCCAACCAACACCACCUAAUGCUGCCUGCCAACAUCACCACCGUCUCCACCAUUGUAACCUUAUUCACCGGACGAGUUUUAAAUUUUUGGUGUUCAACAAAAAAAAGGAGAAACUAACUUUAAGUUUUGAAAAAAAAAGAAAACUGAAGAACAGUUACUUUAAAGGGCAUGAAGGAGAUGAGCAUUCAGAAAAAUGGUGUAGUCCCAAGUUGGACCUAAAGCCAACUCCUUCCUAACUCAGUCCAACCCGAACUUGAAUGUGACCAAUUCUUGGAUGGAUAAAAUUUGGGUUAAAUUUGUAAAUCCUAGAAGUCCAACAUGCUCAAUACUAGGCUAGCAGAAACACAGACCUGACUCAUUAGUGGUACCAUCUAGCUCUAUAAUGAUUUAGGGAAUAUUGUGUUUGAAGUAGUUGCUUCGAAACAGUUGGCAUUCAUUGCACCAAGCACUCAGGCAUUAGGGUUUUACAAAUGGGGUGAAGAUGUUCUCUUUCUUUCAAAUGCUGGAGACUGAGUGCUCUUGAAAAAACCUUGCCGAUAAGAUUCAGUAAUUUGGUUUCCCUAGUAUUUUUUUCGGAAAAAAUACUUCAGGUAUCGGUGUUCCUUAAAGUCCCCAAAAUCAAUCUAUCGCUGAUUCGACAACUCGACAUCGAACCACCUCCCUUAUCACACUUCUCAUGUUACACUAAUCCCUGCUAGUUACACUUCUCAUGUACAAAAGGUAUUAUUAGUAUUAGGUAUAGAUUAUAGCAAAUGCUAUGGAGCUUGAAAGAAAAUUUUUAAUUGGUUUUGCAUCAAUACUUUUAUCUUGGGCAAAAUCUCAACCUGUAUUGAUGCAACAUAUAGAAAAUCUUGACCCUUAUUAACUACAUUACUAUAAAUUGGUAAAGCUUAAGAUAUCAGCCAGUCCUAUAAAAACAUAUUGGCCAAUACAUUUUAAAACGUGAAUUUACUCUCUUAAAUAAGUUUCUAAGUUAACUAUUUUUAAAAUAAAUAAUUAACAACCAAAAAUUUUUGGUAGCUUUUUUUUCAUUUUCAAAUUUGCUCGCUUGCUCACGGAAGGUUCUUAUAAUAGUACGGGUUUGUUGACCUCAUAAAGGCGAUCCAUCGUGACAACAAAUUCCACGAUAACAAGAAACAAAAAUUAUUCAUUCGGUGCCUACUCGUUUUCCUCUCUUUAAUUCCCAAUGAACAAUAUGAUCUUAGCCUAUUAUUUAUUCAAUUUGGUCAAUCAAAUUUAGUUCACUCAUUCAUCUUGAUUUUCUCUGAUUACCUAAUUGAUAACGAACUCCUCAAUGAGCAAUGCCGCAGGUUGCUAGUCUUUGCUUUGCCGGUCAACCAUAAAAAAAGAGAUUGAUUGCCUCACCAAUGAUGAUUUAAAAAAAUUCUUGCUUAUUUUUUAUUGCUUUAAUCGACCGGAACUACUCAAAUAAAACUAAUUGCCAAUCUCCAAUUUACCAUACCGGCCAUAAGUUCAAUAUCUCCAUCUUAAAAAUCGGCAAAAAUUUUAAAAAAAUCCUAGAUCCUUUUUAAGUUUUCCCAUCUAUCAUAUCAACGAGAUGAUUAUCCACCAAGGUGUUCGGCAUCAUACUUUUUUAAUAAAAAAAACACUUAUUUACAUCUAAAUUAACAUGCCAUUCCUGUCAAAUCUUAGCAGCAUGCUUCUGAUGGGCCUGUAAUGACCCCAUUUUUCUAGUCUCUUCAUUGUUUAAGGAUUCUCCUGCUCUGCUUCCCUAUUGCAUUCAAAACAGUAGAAAAUAAAUAAACAAAAUACCAGCACAUUCUAAUGAGGAAUCCCAUGAUUCCAUUAGUCAGGUCCCUUUAUAACUUACCAGAAGAAAAAUCUAGUGACUCCAAUGGUAUCUCUUUACCGCUCCUUCCGUAACAGUUUCUAUUAAACAUGUAAAAUGGAAAGUUGAUAUCAAAGACGAAAGUAUUUGGCUGACUAAAAUUGAAGGUAAGAAAAGGAAGCUCCUUGGUUGAUGAUCUUGAGAAACUACUGCUUUUUGGUAGACCUAUCUAAAAUAGCAGAUAGUCAAAGAAAUGUUCCUUCUUGCAAGGAGCAGGUCUUCACCCAUUUUAGGUGCUUAUUGAAUCUGUAGAUGUUUCCAGGGGAUAAUGUAACAGUGGCGACAGUACCCCUAUAACAUGACGAGUUUCAAAUUUUUAGGUGCCUGUCAACAUGACCACCUUCUCCACCAUUGUAACCUUAUUCACCUGACGAGUUUCAAAUUUUUGGUAUUCAACAGAAAAGGAAAAACUGACUUUAAUUUUUGAAAAAAAAAAAAAGAAAACUGAAAAACAGUAACCACCUGCCUUUCCUUUAAAGGGCAUGAAGGAAAUGAACAUUCGGAAAAAUGGCAUAGUCCCAAUAAGAUCCAAUCCAACUCAGGUCUUGAACCUAAAGCCAACUCCUUCCUGACUCAGUCCAACGCGAACUUGAAUUCGACCAAUUCUUGGAUGGAUAAAAUUUGGGUUAAAUGUGUAAAUCCUAGGAGUCCAACAUGCUCAAUACUAGGCUAGCAGAAACACAGACCUGACUCAACAUGAUAGCACCCUUAUGUGUGAUUAGAGGUGUGAAUCUACCACGUACCAGUUUUUUAUAGAUGAUGGGGCAGGCUAAUGGUACCAUCUAGCUCUAUAAUGAUUUAUGGGAUAUUGUGUUUGAAGUAGUUGCUUAGAAACAGUUGGCAUUCAUUGCACCAAGCACUCAGGCAUUAAGGUUUUACGAAUGGGGUGAAGAUGUUCUCUUUCUUUCAAAUGCUGGAGACUGGGUGCUCUUGAACUCCGUUGAACCACUCUCUGCAUUCAAAAUACUAUACAAAAGGUAUUAUUAGUAUCAGGUAUAGAUUAUAGCAAAUGCUAUGGAGCUUUAAAGAAAUUUUUUAAUUGGUUUUGCAUCAAUACUUUUAUCUUGGGCAAGAUCUUAACCUGUAUUGAUGCAGGAUAUAGAAAAUCUUGACCCUUAUUAACUACAUUAAUGUAAACCGGUAAAUCUUGAGAUAUCAGCCAGUACUAUAAAAACAUAUUGGCCAUUACAUUUAAAACGUGAUUUUACUCCCUUGAAUCAGUUUCUAAGUUAACUAUUUUAAAAUCAAUAGUUAAAUAAUUCAGUAUCAACAAUUUUCAGUAGCUUUCUUUCAUUUCCAAAUUUGCUCGCAAAAGGCUCUUGCAUUAGGACGAGUUUGUUGACUGCUUAAGAGCAAUCCAUCUUAGUGACGGAUUCCACAAUAACAAAAAAUAGAAAUUAAUCAUUCGAUAUCUACUCAUUCUCCUCUCUUCAAUUCCAAAUGAACAAUAUGAUCUUAACCCAUUAUUUUUUCAAUUUGGUCAAUCAUAUUUAGUUCACUCAUUCAUCUUAUGUUUUCACUGAUUACCUAAUUGAUAACAAACGCUUAAACAAGUUACUAGUUUAUUUGUUCCAAGAGGUUUUGAAGCCUGGAACUCUUUUGAUAAGCCAAUGGAGCCUCAAUGAGCAAUGCCGCUGGUCGCUAGUCUUUGCUCUAUCAGUCGACCAUAAAAAAGGAGAUUGAUUGCCUCACCAAACUGAUGAUUAUUUUAAAAAAUUCUUGCUGAAUUUUUAUUGCUUUAAUCGACCGGAAGUACUAAAGUAAAACUAAUUGCCAAUCUCCAAUUUAUCAUACUGGCCAUAAGUUCAAUAUCUCCAUCUUAAAUAUCAGAAAAAAUUUCAAAAAAUCCUAGAUCCUUUUAAGUUUUCCCAUCUAUCAUAUCAACGAGAUGAACAUUCACCAAGGUGCUCAGCAGCAUAGUUUUUUUAAAAAGAAACAUUUAUUUUACAUCCAAAUUGAGAUGCCAUUCCUGUCGAAUGAAAGCAGCAUGCUUCUGAUGGGCCUGUAAUGACCCCAUUUUUCUAGUCUCUUCCUUGUUUAAGGAUUCUCCUGCUCUGAUUCCCUAUUGCAUUCAAAACAGUAAGAAAAUAAAUAAACAAAAUACCAGCACAUUCUAAUGAUGAAUUGCAUGAUUCCAUUAGUCAGGUCCCUUUAUUACUUACCAGAACAAAAAUGUCGCGACUCCAAUGGGAUCUCUUUACCGCUCCUUCCGUUACAGUUUCUAGUAGAAUGGAAACUUGAUAUCAAAGAUGAAAGUAUUUGGCUGACUUAAAUUGUAAGGUAAGAAAAGGAAGCUCCUUGGUUGAUGAUCUUGAGAAACUACUGCUUUUUGGUGACCCAUCUAAAAUAGCAGAUAGUCAAAGAAAUAUUCCUUCUUUCAAGGAGCAGGUCUUCACGCAUUUUAGGUGCUUAUUGAAUCUGUAGAUAUUUCCAUGGGAUAAUGUAACAGUGGCGACAGUACCCCUAUAAUGCAAUCUCUUGAGACUGUUUUGGUUCUUAGACCAAAAGCAGGCUUCAUGAAGUUCCCCUUUCUUCCAGCAGACAUUAACUGUGACAUUGCCCCUGGCCUUCAACCCCUUAACACAACCUUCAGCCCACUUUUCUCGUGGGAGAGCUGGGAGUAAAUAGAGAUCAUGCUUCGUGCUCUGGACAAGCAUUUCUGCAAUUGCCGCAGUGAAACUGAAAAGAGAGUAUCAAAACUAGUUGGCAAGGAUGAAAAUUUGGCCUUCUGCUGAAAAAGUUCAUCAAUAUGUUGAAAGUUGGUAUGGAAUCACAUG